This 512-nucleotide ribosomal RNA is filed under the name uncultured bacterium. Its description in RNAcentral is "bacterial SSU rRNA". It matches the Rfam family "Bacterial small subunit ribosomal RNA", at positions 17 to 518 of the family's 1533-position model. The record is from RNAcentral.
UUAUGGCUCAGAUUGAACGCUGGCGGCAGGCCUAACACAUGCAAGUCGAACGGUAACAGGAAGAAGCUUGCUUCUUGCUGACGAGUGGCGGACGGGUGAGUAAUGUCUGGGAAACUGCCUGAUGGAGGGGGAUAACUACUGGAAACGGUAGCUAAUACCGCAUAACGUCGCAAGACCAAAGAGGGGGACCUUCGGGCCUCUUGCCAUCGGAUGUGCCCAGAUGGGAUUAGCUUGUUGGUGGGGUAACGGCUCACCAAGGCGACGAUCCCUAGCUGGUCUGAGAGGAUGACCAGCCACACUGGAACUGAGACACGGUCCAGACUCCUACGGGAGGCAGCAGUGGGGAAUAUUGCACAAUGGGCGCAAGCCUGAUGCAGCCAUGCCCGCGUGUAUGAAGAAGGCCUUCGGGUUGUAAAGUACUUUCAGCGGGGAGGAAGGGAGUAAAGUUAAUACCUUUGCUCAUUGACGUUACCCGCAGAAGAAGCACCGGCUAACUCCGUGCCAGCCGCCGC